RNAcentral lists this ribosomal RNA (454 nucleotides) under Actinomyces sp. oral taxon 169. RNAcentral's name for it is "bacterial SSU rRNA". It matches the Rfam family "Bacterial small subunit ribosomal RNA", at positions 33 to 474 of the family's 1533-position model. The record is from RNAcentral. Lineage: Bacteria; Bacillati; Actinomycetota; Actinomycetes; Actinomycetales; Actinomycetaceae.
GACGACGCGGGCGGCGUGCUUAACACAUGCAAGUCGACCGGUGAAGGGACCAGCUUGCUGUUUCUGGAUGAGUGGCGAACGGGUGAGUAACACGUGAGUAACCUGCCCCCUUUUCUGGAUAACCGCAUGAAAGUGUGGCUAAUACGGGAUAUUCUGGGUCUGUCGCAUGGCGGGCCCGGGAAAGAUAUUGUUUCGGUGGGGGAUGGGCUCGCGGCCUAUCAGCUUGUUGGUGGGGUGAUGGCCUACCAAGGCGGUGACGGGUAGCCGGCCUGAGAGGGUGGACGGUCACACUGGGACUGAGACACGGCCCAGACUCCUACGGGAGGCAGCAGUGGGGAAUAUUGCACAAUGGGCGCAAGCCUGAUGCAGCGACGCCGCGUGAGGGAUGGAGGCCUUCGGGUUGUAAACCUCUUUCGCCAGUGAAGCAGGCCUGCUCCUUGUGGGUGGGUUGACG